This 377-nucleotide long non-coding RNA is filed under the name Panax ginseng (ginseng). RNAcentral describes it as "long non-coding RNA (PGIN_LNC017096)". The record is from RNAcentral. Lineage: Eukaryota; Viridiplantae; Streptophyta; Magnoliopsida; Apiales; Araliaceae.
UUUUCUUUACCUAGUGUUGUUGUGUCUCUUUUGCAGAACUAUACUAAUGUGUUUCUCGAGGAGCUACCAUAAGAUUUACCACCUAUUUGGGGAAUAGAACAUCAGAUUGAUUUAGUACCCGAUACUACCAUUCCUAAUUGACCAGUUUAUAGGAGCAAUCUAAAUGAGACAAAAGAAUUAUAAAGACAGGUUGAUGAAUUAAUGGAGUUCAAUCUUAUAAGUUUAGCUUAGGUCCAUCAAUUGAUCUCUCAUAAAGCCAUAAGAUGAAUCUAGAUGGGGCCUUGCAUUAGGCUAAAAAUUCCUUUUAACACUCUAAGAGGUCAACUCUUGAGCAGGGUGAAGAACAAACAAGAGAAGAUCAGGUUAGGCAAAAGGGC